This 606-nucleotide ribosomal RNA is filed under the name Triticum aestivum (bread wheat). Its description in RNAcentral is "partial small subunit ribosomal RNA". Lineage: Eukaryota; Viridiplantae; Streptophyta; Magnoliopsida; Poales; Poaceae. The record is from RNAcentral.
AUGCACUUCGUGUUGGGACCGCUACUGCGUCAUGGUGUUCUUGUUUUCAUUGAUGACAUUCUGGUUCAUAAUGAAACUCUAGAGGAGCACAUCAAAUUGCUUCAGCAAGUGUUUGAACUGUUGGAGAAGCAUCAAAUCAAGGUGAAGUUAUCUAAGUGCAAGUUUGACCAGCAACAACUCACCUACUUGGGGCAUGUCAUCAGUGAGAAAGGGGUCACCACUGACGAAAAGAAUAUCGCGGCAGUCAGGGACUGGCCAAUACCCACUGGUGUGAAGCGGAUCCGAGGAUUCCUUGGUCUGGCGGGAUAUUAUAGGCAUUUUGUACGUGAUUUUGGGCUAAUCAGCCGGCCGUUGAUGAAUCUGCUGAAGAAGCACUCGAUCUUUGUGUGGUCUGCAGAAGCAGACGAAGCUUUUAACCAUCUGAAAAAGGCGCUGAUUACUGCCCCAGUGUUGGCGCUCCCUCGUUUUGAUAGACCUUUAGAAAUUGAGACAGAUGCGUCCGAGUUCGGGGUUGGGGCUGUGCUGAUUCAAGAUGGGCAUCCAUUAGCUUUCCUCAGCAAAGCACUAGGACCAAGGAACUGUGGCUUGUCAACUUACGAGAAAUAA